AUGUCGCCCUUCGGGAAGUUCUUGUUCUGCUUGACCCUGUUGGCCGCAUGGCGCCUCAGCUCGACCCUGUUCGCCGAGGCGCCUCCAGCUCCUGGUGUCGACUCCGCCUCCAGAAACGCAUCGUGCUUGGCCCUCGCCAGGGAGGCCGGCGUCCGGGCGGAAGGCGGCACGGCGCGCAACUUCGUCAUCUCGCCGCUGUCCAUCCACGCGGCGCUCGCGAAGGUGGCCGCGGGCGCGCGGGGCGACACGCUUAACGAGCUCCUGCGGUUCCUCGGGUCGGCGUCGCUCAACGAGCUGCACCGCGCGGCGGCGACCAAGCUCGUCGGCAGGCUCAACGGCAUAGCGCAGACGUCCUUCGCCAGCGGCGUGUGGGUGGACCGGAUGCUGGCGCUCAAGCCAGAGUUCACGGCCAUCGCCGCGUCGCGGUACAACGCCACGGCAGAAUCCGUGGACUUCGUGUCGGGGGCCGAGCAGGCGAGGCAGCGCGUGAACGCCUUCGUGGCGGACGCGACCAACAAGCACAUCCUCGAAGUCCUGCCUCCGGGCUCCGUCGGCUCCGGCACGGCGGUCGUCCUCGCCAACGCUCUCUAG
Molecule: ribosomal RNA, 591 nt
Filed under: Triticum aestivum (bread wheat)
Lineage: Eukaryota; Viridiplantae; Streptophyta; Magnoliopsida; Poales; Poaceae
Description: partial small subunit ribosomal RNA
Source: RNAcentral